AGAAUCAACGCUGGCGGCGUGCCUAACACAUGCAAGUCGAACGAGAAAGUGGAGCAAUCCAUGAGUAAAGUGGCGCACGGGUGAGUAACACGUGACUACCUACCCUUGAGUGGGGGAUAACCUAGGGAAACCUGGGCUAAUACCGCAUAAUACCUACGGGUCAAAGAAGCAAUUCGCUUAAGGAGGGGGUCGCGGCCGAUUAGUUAGUUGGCGGGGUAAUGGCCCACCAAGACGAUGAUCGGUAUCCGGCCUGAGAGGGCGCACGGACACACUGGAACUGAAACACGGUCCAGACUCCUACGGGAGGCAGCAGUGGGGAAUUUGCGCAAUGGGGAACCCUGACGCAGCAACGCCGCGUGGAGGAUGAAGUCCCUUGGGACGUAAACUCCUUUCGAUCGGGACGAUUAUGACGGUACCGGAAGAAGAAGCCCCGGCUAACUUCGCGCCAGCAGCCGC
Molecule: ribosomal RNA, 456 nt
Filed under: uncultured bacterium
Lineage: Bacteria
Description: SSU rRNA
Rfam family: Bacterial small subunit ribosomal RNA
Source: RNAcentral